CCAAGGUAGCCCGUUGUGCCCCAACUUUAGAAAACUUUAAGAACCACCUAUUAAAUAUUGAACUUGCUGAUCUCUGUGACUGGCCAGACUUAAAUUCCUGUAAUCAUGCUGCCAGGUCCCGUCUGUAAGAUAUUUCUUUGUCGAUGUCUUAUAUUUUUAGCAUAAACAGCGAUGCGAAAGUUGUCGAAGCAUUGCGAGCGCCCUCUUGUGUUUUCCGUUGAAUAGAGCAUACCGAGUUGCGUAACAAUUUGCAUAUGACACGCAGUGCGAAAAAGCCUUUUAUUCCGUGCAGUGUCUCAAAAGCAUAGGGCUUCGGACGCACAUUCCGUGAAUUUUUUCGCUAGUUUUCUUGGAGAGUAAGCAAGCAUGGGUAGGUCACUUGACUGCUUGUCAUUGCUGCUGCCAGCCACACCUUAUUGCGAGCCAGCUUGUCUAUAUUUUGCUGUGUUUCUCACGUGGUUUUGCCAUGGUUAGCACGCCGCAUGUGCAUACACAUAUCGUGUACAUGCAUAUCGUGUAGUUUGCCCAAACAUCCCGAGGCAUAGGUACACAGGCCGCAACUGCUCCGCUACUGCUUGUGGUUCUGUGGUUCCUGAUGGUCACAAAUAGAGAGGCCUUCUUGAGUAGACCAGUGUAUCCCUUAUCCAGCAUCCAUAAUAUUUGGACUGCUGAAGAAUGACUGUCGUUUUUUUGUAAUAAUAAAAUUUUGAUCAAUUUAUAGUGGAAUAUAUACCCAGUGUCACUUUUAAAUUUUUCUGCGUAACCUUUCCAGCUCG
Molecule: long non-coding RNA, 776 nt
Organism: Patiria miniata (bat star)
Lineage: Eukaryota; Metazoa; Echinodermata; Asteroidea; Valvatida; Asterinidae
Exons: 3
Source: RefSeq, a predicted model, not a curated record